This 3899-nucleotide long non-coding RNA is filed under the name Xyrichtys novacula (pearly razorfish). The record is from RNAcentral. Lineage: Eukaryota; Metazoa; Chordata; Actinopteri; Labriformes; Labridae.
UGCAGUCUGGGACACGUAGUUGCAAACCUAGCGACUUUGUUGUUAGAUUCAAUUACUUUUCAGACCCCCUAACGACUUUUUUUAGAAAGAAAGGGACUUUUAUCGACUUCUUCUGGAGUUUAGAGACUCUGACAUGAAGCAGGCUUUCCUUACUGAGGAGUUAGCAACGCUGCUAAGGGUGCAGAGCCACACAUGCGCUCCGAGCUCUGCAUGGGAGACUGAAGCUGACAGAGCUGCAGCAGUUAGCAGGUUUCACCCUCAGAGACCACCAGGGGUUCAUGUUGAGGCAUUUUCAGUUUUUGUUUUUUUUGCCAUAGACUGUCAGCACAAUCUGCAGUUACACUAACAAAAAUGCUGCAAAAAACAAAGAAUUAUGGAAAAAUUACACAUGGACUGACAUAGAGGAGGAUCUACACAAGUUUUUUACAUCAUGUUUUACAUCAUGCAUCAUUUACAUCAUGUUUUUUUGUAGUGGCAUAAAUAAAAAGUGACAUUUGUGAGACUAUACAGUGUUUUGUAAAUAAUUUUACAAAGAACGCCUGGGCCAUUGCCUGCAUUUUGAUGUAAAUAGAGGUAAAUUACUAUGUUCUUUGUUAAAAAUUUGCAUAUGUUUUGAAGUUUACAAUUUUUAUUUGAAGUUUAAGUUUUAAAAACAGUUCAUCACACAUAUUUGUGUUUUAAUUUCACAUUAAUUUCCAUAUUGUAUAAAUGACUGGAAAAAACUUGAGCCCCUGCCCCUGUAUUAUCAUGUGCACGUCCCUGUUCUAGCUCCAAGGUGAAUCUUCACUGCUCAUGUUCUCCUCAGAAAUAGUCACCUCACUCCCCUCAGGUUACUGUACACAUGCACCAACUAUCUGCUUCAGGUUUGGAUGGAGCUUCAUGGUUGUCUUUUGGAGAAAUGAACAGUCAAGUUGUGUUUGAAAUCUGAUUUUUUUCAGGGGCAAAAGGAAGCCUCUGCAUUCUUGUCAAAUAUGUAAACAGCAUGUUUUUGCAGGUGCUAAAAAACAGACUCUGAGUGUGUGUGUGUGUGUGUGUGUGUGUGUGUGUGUGUGUGUGUGUGUGUGUGUGUGUGUGUGUAUAUAUGUGUGUGUAUCCUGCAGUACUCUGUACUCCUGCAGUGGCCAAAAAGACUUUUAAGAAUGUGGAUUUUUGGGUCAUCUUUGGCGCCCCCUAGAACUGCAGUACUCUGUACUCCUGCAGUGGCCAAAAUGACUUUUAAGAAUGUGGAUUUUUGGGUCAUCUUUGGCGCCCCCUAGAACGUAAACCGUGGGGUGCAGCGUCAUGAUUUUUACAACUUUGAAUGGGCAUGGGGUGUAGAUUGCCCUGAGCAAAUUUGGUAUCGGUGGGACGAAAGCCUUAGGAGGAGAUAGCCACAUUCCAAUGUGUGCGAAUCGGCAAAAAAUGCGAAAUAGCCCUUUAACCGUACAUUAUACAGAUACGCGCUUUUUGACUUUUUCGUAGAUCUAAUUGAGAUACACGUGAUUGUCAAUUUUUGUGUCAAUAUGACAAAGCGUUCAGGCAUGACACUCAACAAUGUGUAUUUUCAUGUAAGGGGACAAGAAAAAAUUGACUUUUUUCUCCUGCCAUGGGGGGGCGCUCUUUUGGGGAGUAAAAAUUCCUUCACAAAUGUGUUGAUGGCUGGACAUUGCAUCAUCCUAGAAAACUUGGAGGGCAGUGAGGACAAAAAUAAAAAGUUAUAAGACUUUUAAGAAUGUGGAUUUUGGGUUAUCUUUGGCGCCCCCUAGAACGUAAACCGUGGGGUGCAGCGUCAUGAUUUGUACAACUUUUAAUGGCCAUGGGAGGUAGAUUGGCCUGCGCAAAUGUGGUGCCGGUCGAACGAAAGCCUUCGGAGGAGUUAGCGAAAUUCCAAUGUGUGCAGAUCUGCAAAAAAUGCAAAAUAACCCAUUAACCGUACAUUUGACAGAUACGCCCGUACUGACUUUUUUAUAGAUCUUAUUGAGAUACAUGUGUGUGUCAAUUUUUGUGUCAAUAUGACAAAGCGUACAGCCGUCAUGUGAAUUUUCACCUUAGGGGGCGCUAUGGAGCCAUUUUGCAUUUUAUUGUUUGGGCGACUUCAGAAUAUCGAAUUUUUCACCAGGCCCGGUCGUCCUGCCAAAUUUCCUGAGUUUUCGCCAGUGGGAAGUGGGCCAUUUUCCAGUUUAAAGCGGAGGAAAAAUAAUAACGAACUAGGGCCCCGGUGGGGCACUGGCGGGCCCGAGCCGUGUCACGCCGCCCCCAGCGCGACCGCCUACCCCUCCCGAUCGCGUCACACUCAAGGUCCAAAGAUGGUGUGCGCACUUGUCUGUGGUCAUUUACCAUUAUAAUGAAUGGGAGGCGCAGUUUCUACCAAAACACUCGCUGCAGACAAACUCCAUGUCCUUUUUGAAAAAAGUCUGGACCAUGAGUGAGGGCACAAACACAGCUAGUAUAUAUCCAAAUGGCAAGUUGCUCCUCCUUUCGGUUUUGCCGAGAAAGCGAUGCGUUUGAGCCAUUGAGCGAUGGGCAGGAAAAACUUGACUUUUUCUCCUGACAUGGGGGGGCGCUCUUUUGGGGAGAAAAAAUUCCUUCACAAAUGUGUUGAUGGCUGGACAUUGCAUCAUCCUAGAAAACUUGGAGGCCAGUGAGGACAAAAAUAAAAAGUUAUAAGACUUUAAAAAUGUGGAUAUUUGGGUCCUCUUUGGCGCCCCCUAGAACGUAGACCAUGGGGUGCAGCGUCAUGAUUUUUACAACUUUGAAUGGCCAUGGGGUGUAGAUUGGCCUGAGCAAAUUUGGUGUCAGUGGGACGAAAGCCUUAGGAGGAGUUAGCCACAUUCCUAUGUGUGCGAAUCGGCAAAAAAUGCGAAAUAGCCCUUUAACCGUACAUUUUACAGAUACGCGCGCAUUGACUUUUUCGUAGAUCUUAUUGAGAUACACGUGAUUGUCAAAUUUUGUGUCAAUAUGACAAAGCGUACAGGCGUGACAUUCAACAAUGUGUAUUUUCACCUUAGGGGACAAGAAAAAAUUGACUUUUUUGUCCUGCCAUGGGGGGGCGCUCUUUUGGGGAGUAAAAAUUCCUUCACAAAUGUGUUGAUGGCUGGACAUUGCAUCAUCCUAGAAAACUUGGAGGCCAGUGAGGGCAAAAAUAAAAAGUUAUAAAACUUUUAAGAAUGUGGAUUUUAGGGUUAUUUUUGGCGCCCCCUAGAACCUAAACCAUGGGGUGCAGCAUCAUGAUUUGUACAACUUUGAAUGGCCAUGGAGUGUAGAUUGGCCUGAGCAAAUGUGGUGCCGGUGGACCGAAAGCCUUCGGAGGAGUUAGCGAAAUUCCAAUGUGUGCGGAUCUGCAAAAAAUGCGAAAUAACCCUUUAACCGUACAUUUGACAGAUACGCCCGCACUGACUUUUUUGUAGAUCUUAUUGAGAUACAUGUGUGUGUCAAUUUUUGUGUCAAUAUGACAAAGCGUACAGGCGUGACAGUCAAUAGUGUGAAUUUUCACCUUAGGGGGCGCUAUGGAGCCAUUUUGUAUUUUAUUGUUUGGGCGACUUCAGAAUAUCGAAUUUUUCACCAGGCCCGGUCGUCCUGCCAAAUUUCCUGAGUUUUCGCCAGUGGGAAGUGGGCCAUUUUCCAGUUUAAAGCGGAGGAAAAAUAAUAAUAACUAGGGCCCCGGUGGGGCACUGGCGGGCCCGAGCCGUGUCGCGCCGCCCCCAGCGCGACCGCCUACCCCUCCCGAUCGCGUCACACUCAAGGUUCAAAGAUGGUGUGCGCACUUGUCUGUGGUCAUUUACCAUUAUAAUGAAUGGGAGGCGCAGUUUCUACCAAAAUGCUCGCUGCAGACAAACUCCAUGUCCUUUUUGAAAAAAGUCUGGACCAUGAGUGAGGGCACAAACACAGCUAAGAUAUAUCCAAAUGGCAAGUUGCUCCUC